GCCGGGGUGCCCGAGUGGUCAAGGGGCAGGCCUGGAGUCGACUGGACUGAGAGCCUGUGGGCGAAAGCCCUCGUGGGUUCGAAUCCCACCCCCGGCG
RNAcentral lists this transfer RNA (97 nucleotides) under Conexivisphaera calida. It matches the Rfam family "tRNA". Rfam says of the family: Transfer RNA (tRNA) molecules are approximately 80 nucleotides in length. Their secondary structure includes four short double-helical elements and three loops (D, anti-codon, and T loops). The record is from Rfam by way of RNAcentral. Lineage: Archaea; Thermoproteati; Nitrososphaerota; Conexivisphaeria; Conexivisphaerales; Conexivisphaeraceae.